This is a non-coding RNA of Podarcis lilfordi (Lilford's wall lizard), 69 nucleotides long. The record is from the annotation of a GenBank genome assembly. Lineage: Eukaryota; Metazoa; Chordata; Lepidosauria; Squamata; Lacertidae.
GCUGUAGCUCAGAGGUAGAGUAUCUGCUUUGCAUGCAGAAGGUUCCAGGUUCGAUCCUUGGCAUCUCCA